CGCACAGGCUCCGCGCCGGGCUCUCCAGCCGGGCAGGCGCACGAGGGACACCUGCGAACCUGGAGGUGGCGGAGGCUGCGAACCCGGCGGCGCGGCCAAACCUGCGCUGGCUGCCUGGGCCUCCUGGGCCAGGAGCUGGCGCUGGGGGCGGCGGCGGUGUGGGGCCUCCUGGACGUGUUGGCGGAGGUGGCUUCAGUCCCGCGGAGCCCAGGCUUCAGAUCUUCCAGCUCAUCCUUUCAUAUUAGUCAUGAGGAAUCUCAGUCCCGCAGAGCUAGGAAAGAGCAUAGGUCCCCUCAUCCCCAGGGAUGGUCAGCACGUUCCUUCCUGAGCCUUGGGCCCCUGCGAGAAGAAGAGGAGAGUGGAGAUCUUCAGCAGAAAGGAAGACAUGGUGCUGGUGGCUGGACCCUCCGUGGCCAUGCUUUCACCAGUUCUCGGGAUGCCCAUAGGGAUGGGUGAAGCCCGCCUGGCCUGUGGUGCUUCCCAGUGGCCGUCAUCUCACUAG
Molecule: long non-coding RNA, 502 nt
Filed under: Theropithecus gelada (gelada)
Lineage: Eukaryota; Metazoa; Chordata; Mammalia; Primates; Cercopithecidae
Description: lncRNA (ENSTGEG00000014113.1)
Source: RNAcentral